This 214-nucleotide long non-coding RNA is filed under the name Vigna radiata. RNAcentral describes it as "long non-coding RNA (VRAD_LNC004346)". The record is from RNAcentral. Lineage: Eukaryota; Viridiplantae; Streptophyta; Magnoliopsida; Fabales; Fabaceae.
CACAAUUAGCGUUGCCUUGUAUAAAACCAUUCAAUUGAAAUAAAAUAUAAUAAAACAAUGUACGAAUACAUACCACACCCCUCUCCAUUGUAGCUUGGAUGAACUUGUCACCUACAUUUACAAUCAUCCAAUGUAAAAUUCUUGGGUAUUUAUGUACACAAGCAUUUGAAGGAAUAAAACGAUCACAAAACCAAACCUGAAAUACAUCUUAAAA